Molecule: ribosomal RNA, 253 nt
Filed under: uncultured bacterium
Lineage: Bacteria
Description: partial 16S ribosomal RNA
Rfam family: Bacterial small subunit ribosomal RNA
Source: RNAcentral
CACGUAGGGUGCGAGCGUUGUCCGGAAUUAUUGGGCGUAAAGAGCUCGUAGGCGGUGUGUCGCGUCGGCCGUGAAAACCUGCAGCUUAACUGUGGGCUUGCGGUCGAUACGGGCAGACUUGAGUUCGGUAGGGGAGACUGGAAUUCCUGGUGUAGCGGUGAAAUGCGCAGAUAUCAGGAGGAACACCGGUGGCGAAGGCGGGUCUCUGGGCCGAUACUGACGCUGAGGAGCGAAAGCGUGGGGAGCGAACAGG